GACGAACGCUGGCGGCGUGCUUAACACAUGCAAGUCGAACGGAAAGGCCCUGCUUUUGUGGGGUGCUCGAGUGGCGAACGGGUGAGUAACACGUGAGUAACCUGCCCUUGACUUUGGGAUAACUUCAGGAAACUGGGGCUAAUACCGGAUAGGAGCUCCUGCUGCAUGGUGGGGGUUGGAAAGUUUCGGCGGUUGGGGAUGGACUCGCGGCUUAUCAGCUUGUUGGUGGGGUAGUGGCUUACCAAGGCUUUGACGGGUAGCCGGCCUGAGAGGGUGACCGGCCACAAUAGGACUGAGAUACGGCCCAGACUCGUACGUGAGGCAGCAGGGGGGAAUAUUGCACAGUGAGCGGGAGCCUGAUGCAGCAGCGCCGCGUGCGGGAUGACGGCCUUCGGGUUAUGAACCGCUUUCGCCUGUUACGAAGCGUGAGUGACGGUAAUGGGUAAAGAAGCACCGGCUAACUACGUG
This 468-nucleotide ribosomal RNA is filed under the name uncultured bacterium. RNAcentral's name for it is "partial 16S ribosomal RNA". It matches the Rfam family "Bacterial small subunit ribosomal RNA", at positions 28 to 507 of the family's 1533-position model. The record is from RNAcentral.